This 277-nucleotide ribosomal RNA is filed under the name uncultured bacterium. RNAcentral's name for it is "partial 16S ribosomal RNA". It matches the Rfam family "Bacterial small subunit ribosomal RNA", at positions 335 to 604 of the family's 1533-position model. The record is from RNAcentral.
ACUCCUACGGGAGGCAGCAGUGGGAGUAUUGAUGCAAUGGGCGCAAGCCUGAUCCAGCCAUGCCGCGUGUGUGAAGAAGGCCUUCGGGUUGUAAAGCACUUUCAGCGAGGAGGAAAGGUUAAGUGUUAAUAGCACUUAGCUGUGACGUUACUCGCAGAAGAAGCACCGGCUAACUCCGUGCCAGCAGCCGCGGUAAUACGGAGGGUGCAAGCGUUAAUCGGAAUUACUGGGCGUAAAGCGCGCGUAGGUUGUUUGUUAAGCGAGAUGUGAAAGCCCG